Eriocheir sinensis (Chinese mitten crab) is the source of this 2965-nucleotide long non-coding RNA. RefSeq lists it as uncharacterized. The transcript has 2 exons. The record is from RefSeq and is a predicted model, not a curated record. Lineage: Eukaryota; Metazoa; Arthropoda; Malacostraca; Decapoda; Varunidae.
GGUGAUCCGCUGGGACAAGGAGAAGAACUUACCUCCCUUCCUCCCUAUCUCCCUCCCUCCCUACCUUACCUCCCUCCUCCUUCCUGAGUGCUUCUAUCAUCCUCCCCUCUCCCUCCUCCUCCUCUUCUCCUUCCUUCUUCCUCCUCCUCCUCCUCCUCCUUCGUCUCCCGGCACCUACUCGCUUGGUUACCUGCCCGGCUGUACUUAAGUGACGUCACGGUGCAAAGUACAGAUCAAGGAGCGCCAUGUCACCAGGCCGGGCAGCACCAUAACAAGCACCAUCAUGUCACCAUACAUGUCCUAAUGCAAGCCAUGGCACCAUACCCAAGCUCUAUAGUGAGUCUUGGCACCAUGCGAAGGACAAUGGCACCAUAUAUGUCCUACUGUGCUGACUAAUGGCACCAUACCUAGCCAUGGCACCAUACCUGAACGUCUACAGUGAGUCAUGGUGCCAUAUUAGUCCCUCUAUGUAUGUCCAUGGCACCAUACAUCUCAAGGGUGCCAUAAAGUCCUUCUAGAGUGAACAAUGGCACCAUUCUUGUAAUGCCAUGGCACCAUAUUGGACUACAGCAUCAUAAAGGGACCAUUGCACCAUACCAGUCCUAACAUGGCACCAUACCAGUCCUAACAUGGCACCAUACCAGUCUCAUCAUGUCACCAUAUCAGGACCACAAUACCAUAGAGGGAUCAUGGCACCAUACCAGCCCUGCCAAUCCCACCAUGGCACCAUACCAGCCCCACCAUGGCACCAUAUCGGGACCACAAUACCAUAGAGGGAUCAUGGCACCAUACCAGCCCUGCCAAUCCCACCAUGGCACCAUACCAGUCCCACCAUGGCACCAUAUCGGGACCACAAUACCAUAGAGGGAUCAUGGCACCAUACCAGCCCUGCCAAUCCUACCGUGGCACCAUACCAGUCCCACCAUGGCACCAUAUCGGGACCACAACACCAUAGAAGGAUCAUGGCACCAUACCAGCCCUGCCAAUCCCACCAUGGCACCAUACCAGUCCCACCAUGGCACCAUAUCGGGACCACAACACCAUAGAAGGAUCAUGGCACCAUACCAGCCCUGCCAAUCCUACCGUGGCACCAUAACAGUCCCACCAUGGCACCGUACCAGUCCAUCAUGGCACCAUACCAGCCCUGCCAAUCCUACCGUGGAACCAUACCAGUCCCACCAUGGCACCAUAUCGGGACCACAACACCAUGAAGGGAUCAUGGCACCAUACCAGCCCUGCCAAUCCUACCGUGGCACCAUACCAGUCCCACCAUGGCACCAUAUCGGGAUCACAACACCACAGAGGGAUCAUGGCACCAUACCAGCCCUGCCAAUCCUACCGUGGCACCAUACCAGUCCCACCAUGGCACCAUAUCGGGACCACAACACCAUGAAGGGAUCAUGGCACAGUACCAGCCCUGCCAAUCCCACCAUGGCACCAUACCAGUCCCACCAUGGCACCAUACCAGCCCUGCCAAUCCUACCGUGGCACCAUACCAGUCCCACCAUGGCACCAUACCAGUCCAUCAUGGUACCAUACCAGGACCACUGCACCAUACAAGGACCAUGGCACCAUUCCAGUCCCAUCAUGGCACCAUACUAGGACCACAGCACCAUAUCAAGACCACCAUGGCGCCAUACGAAGACCACUGCACCAUAUAAGGGCCAUGGCACCAUACCCUUUCCUCUACAAUGGUUUGCUGCAGCACCAUCACCAUACCAGCACCAUGACACCAUACCAAGACCACCAUGGCACCAUACCUGGACCCCUGCACCAUGGAGGGACCCGUAGCAGCACCAUACCAGCACCAUGGCACCAUACUCCCCCUGCAGUGAGUCAUGGCACCAUACACGCUUGUUUCAUGGCACUGACAACCCACCAUACCUACCAUGCCCACCAUAACACCAUCCCCAGUCACCAUAAACACCAUAACUAGGGGAAAAUAAUAUCUGAAAAAUCUAUAAAUAAUUCCCUCAAUUUUUUAGUUAUAAGUGAUGAUUUUUAUUUUUAUUUUUAUUAUUAUUUUAUUAGAUUUAUUUUCUUUGCUACAUAUCUUUCCAUACGUACAUGUGUGUGUAUAUGUAUGUAUGUAUGGAUUUAUGCAUGUACGUUUUCCCCGAAGUCAUGUAUACAUAUAUAUUCGUGUAUAUGUGUAUUAUGCUAUGUGAAGGGUUGACGUACAGGUGUGUGUGUGUGUGUGUGUGUGUGUGUGUGUGUGUGUGUGUGUGUGUGUGUGUGUGUGUGUUUUCUGAAAACACACACACACACACACACACACACACACACACAUACACAGUUAAAGAAAGAAAGAAAGAAAGAAAAAGAAGAAAAAACAAAGAAACAGAGAAAAAACACACACACUCACUAUUUACUCACCAUACUCAAUACUCAAUACUCACCAUUCAAACAUUCUUACUCACUCUUACUCAUCCCAAAGACUUCCCUUCCUUUUCUAUCACGAAAACAAAAACAAAAAUCGCUAACGCUAUAUCUACUCACGACUUACUCAACACAUUGCAAGACACACGCCUCUCAAUACUCACCAUUCAAACAUUUUCAUCACUCACUCUUACUCAUCUCAAACCUUUCCAAUCCUUCGCUAUCACAAAAAGUCCACUAAAAAAAAAUGCUCAGUUAGUUUUAGUUUCCCUUAGAUCAAUAACUCAUUUUGACGUUUUCUUUCAUUGACGUUAAAAAGUAUAUAUAUUCAUUCAUUCAUACAAAAAGAAAAUGGAUUCAUGUAUAUUUCCACUUGUAAAUAUUCAUAAACAGACAAAAAUAAUUAGACUUCACAAUUAUACAACUAACAAAACAUUCAUUACAUUAUUCAUCUUCAUUCAUCAUUCAUUAGUAUUUUCUUUCACAAUACCGUAAGUCUCUUUGUUAAGCUAUUCAUCUCUCUCUCUCUCUCUCUCUCUCUCUCUCUCUCUCUCUCUCUCUCUCUCUCUCUCUCUCUGCACUGGAC